GAAAGAGACUUCAGAUACAGUAUUAGGGGACCACUAAGAUCUAUAUAAAAGCAUCCAAAGAGGACCAUGUCAUGGUACCUUUAA
This is a long non-coding RNA of Etheostoma spectabile (orangethroat darter), 84 nucleotides long. RefSeq lists it as uncharacterized. Lineage: Eukaryota; Metazoa; Chordata; Actinopteri; Perciformes; Percidae. The record is from RefSeq and is a predicted model, not a curated record. The transcript has 2 exons.